GCCGGGAGUGGUGGUGCACACCUGUAGUCCCAGCUACUUGGGAGGCUGAGGCAGGAUAAUUGCUUCAACCCGGGAGGCAGAGAUUGCAGUGAGCCAAGAUGACGCCACUGCACUCCUGCCUGGGUGAUAGAGCAAGACUCUGUCUCAA
This 148-nucleotide non-coding RNA is filed under the name Nomascus leucogenys (northern white-cheeked gibbon). The record is from Rfam by way of RNAcentral. Lineage: Eukaryota; Metazoa; Chordata; Mammalia; Primates; Hylobatidae.